Molecule: ribosomal RNA, 253 nt
Filed under: uncultured bacterium
Lineage: Bacteria
Description: partial 16S ribosomal RNA
Rfam family: Bacterial small subunit ribosomal RNA
Source: RNAcentral
UACGAAGGGGGCUAGCGUUGCUCGGAAUCACUGGGCGUAAAGCGCACGUAGGCGGCUUUCUAAGUCAGGGGUGAAAUCCUGGAGCUCAACUCCAGAGCUGCCUUUGAUACUGGGAAGCUCGAGUCCGGAAGAGGUGAGUGGAACUCCGAGUGUAGAGGUGAAAUUCGUAGAUAUUCGGAAGAACACCAGUGGCGAAGGCGGCUCACUGGUCCGGUACUGACGCUGAGGUGCGAAAGCGUGGGGAGCAAACAGG